RNAcentral lists this ribosomal RNA (253 nucleotides) under uncultured bacterium. RNAcentral describes it as "partial 16S ribosomal RNA". It matches the Rfam family "Bacterial small subunit ribosomal RNA", at positions 524 to 776 of the family's 1533-position model. The record is from RNAcentral.
UACGGGGGGGGCAAGCGUUGUUCGGAAUUACUGGGCGUAAAGGGCUCGUAGGUGGCCAACUAAGUCAGACGUGAAAUCCCUCGGCUUAACCGGGGAACUGCGUCUGAUACUGGAUGGCUUGAGGUUGGGAGAGGGAUGCGGAAUUCCAGGUGUAGCGGUGAAAUGCGUAGAUAUCUGGAGGAACACCGGUGGCGAAGGCGGCAUCCUGGACCAAUUCUGACGCUGAGGAGCGAAAGCGUGGGGAGCGAUCCGG